Molecule: ribosomal RNA, 720 nt
Filed under: Bacillus thuringiensis
Lineage: Bacteria; Bacillati; Bacillota; Bacilli; Caryophanales; Bacillaceae
Description: bacterial SSU rRNA
Rfam family: Bacterial small subunit ribosomal RNA
Source: RNAcentral
GAAUGGAUUAAGAGCUUGCUCUUAUGAAGUUAGCGGCGGACGGGUGAGUAACACGUGGGUAACCUGCCCAUAAGACUGGGAUAACUCCGGGAAACCGGGGCUAAUACCGGAUAACAUUUUGAACCGCAUGGUUCGAAAUUGAAAGGCGGCUUCGGCUGUCACUUAUGGAUGGACCCGCGUCGCAUUAGCUAGUUGGUGAGGUAACGGCUCACCAAGGCAACGAUGCGUAGCCGACCUGAGAGGGUGAUCGGCCACACUGGGACUGAGACACGGCCCAGACUCCUACGGGAGGCAGCAGUAGGGAAUCUUCCGCAAUGGACGAAAGUCUGACGGAGCAACGCCGCGUGAGUGAUGAAGGCUUUCGGGUCGUAAAACUCUGUUGUUAGGGAAGAACAAGUGCUAGUUGAAUAAGCUGGCACCUUGACGGUACCUAACCAGAAAGCCACGGCUAACUACGUGCCAGCAGCCGCGGUAAUACGUAGGUGGCAAGCGUUAUCCGGAAUUAUUGGGCGUAAAGCGCGCGCAGGUGGUUUCUUAAGUCUGAUGUGAAAGCCCACGGCUCAACCGUGGAGGGUCAUUGGAAACUGGGAGACUUGAGUGCAGAAGAGGAAAGUGGAAUUCCAUGUGUAGCGGUGAAAUGCGUAGAGAUAUGGAGGAACACCAGUGGCGAAGGCGACUUUCUGGUCUGUAACUGACACUGAGGCGCGAAAGCGUGGGGAG